UCGGCCCCGGUUCACGCAGUGCGCAAUUCGGCUCCUGCGACCCGGCGCC
This is a regulatory RNA element of Streptomyces sp. Mg1, 49 nucleotides long. It matches the Rfam family "L31-Actinobacteria ribosomal protein leader". Lineage: Bacteria; Bacillati; Actinomycetota; Actinomycetes; Kitasatosporales; Streptomycetaceae. The record is from Rfam.